RNAcentral lists this ribosomal RNA (253 nucleotides) under uncultured bacterium. Its description in RNAcentral is "partial 16S ribosomal RNA". It matches the Rfam family "Bacterial small subunit ribosomal RNA", at positions 524 to 776 of the family's 1533-position model. The record is from RNAcentral.
UACGGGGGGGGCAAGCGUUGUUCGGAAUUACUGGGCGUAAAGGGCUCGUAGGCGGCCAACUAAGUCGGAUGUGAAAUCCCCAGGCUUAACCUGGGAACUGCAUCCGAUACUGGAUGGCUUGAAUCCGGGAGAGGGAUGCAGAAUUCCAGGUGUAGCGGUGAAAUGCGUAGAUAUCUGGAGGAACACCGGUGGCGAAGGCGGCAUCCUGGACCAAUAUUGACGCUGAGGAGCGAAAGCUAGGGGAGCAAACGGG